Molecule: ribosomal RNA, 422 nt
Filed under: uncultured bacterium
Lineage: Bacteria
Description: bacterial SSU rRNA
Rfam family: Bacterial small subunit ribosomal RNA
Source: RNAcentral
UGAGGAAUAUUGGACAAUGGGUGGAAGCCUGAUCCAGCCAUCCCGCGUGAAGGAUGACGGUUCUAUGGAUUGUAAACUUCUUUUGUACAGGGAUAAACCUGCCCUCGUGAGGGCAGCUGAAGGUACUGUACGAAUAAGCACCGGCUAACUCCGUGCCAGCAGCCGCGGUAAUACGGAGGGUGCAAGCGUUAUCCGGAUUUACUGGGUUUAAAGGGUGCGUAGGCGGAUGAAUAAGUCAGUGGUGAAAUCUCCGAGCUUAACUCGGAAACUGCCGUUGAUACUAUUUGUCUUGAAUAUUGUGGAGGUAAGCGGAAUAUGUCAUGUAGCGGUGAAAUGCUUAGAUAUGACAUAGAACACCAAUUGCGAAGGCAGCUUGCUACACAAUCAUUGACGCUGAGGCACGAAAGCGUGGGGAUCAAACA